GACGAAGGUGGCGAGCGUUGUUCGGAAUCACUGGGCAUAAAGCGCACGUAGGCGGCGAUGUAAGUCGGGUGUGAAAUCCCUCGGCCCAACCGAGGAACUGCGCCCGAAACUGCAUUGCUUGAGGAUCAAAGGGGUGCUCGGAAUUUCCGGUGGAGCGGUGAAAUGCGUUGAUAUCGGAAGGAACGUCGGCGGCGAAAGCGGAGCACUGGUUGAUUACUGACGCUGAGGUGCGAAAGCCAGGGGAG
Molecule: ribosomal RNA, 245 nt
Filed under: uncultured bacterium
Lineage: Bacteria
Description: partial 16S ribosomal RNA
Rfam family: Bacterial small subunit ribosomal RNA
Source: RNAcentral